This 377-nucleotide ribosomal RNA is filed under the name uncultured bacterium. RNAcentral describes it as "bacterial SSU rRNA". It matches the Rfam family "Bacterial small subunit ribosomal RNA", at positions 521 to 896 of the family's 1533-position model. The record is from RNAcentral.
UAAUACAGAGGGUGCAAGCGUUGUUCGGAAUCAUUGGGCGUAAAGCGCGAGUAGGCGGCCCACUAAGUCUGAUGUGAAAGCCCGGGGCUCAACCCCGGAAGUGCAUUGGAUACUGGAGGGCUAGAGGGUGAAAGAGGAGAGUGGAAUUCAUGGUGUAGGGGUGAAAUCCGUAGAUAUCAUGAGGAACAUCAGUGGCGAAGGCGGCUCUCUGGUUCAUUUCUGACGCUCAGACGCGAAAGCAUGGGGAGCAAACAGGAUUAGAUACCCUGGUAGUCCAUGCCCUAAACGAUGAAUACUAGUUAUUGGGAUACCUAAUUGUCUCGGUGACGUAGCUAACGCAUUAAGUAUUCCGCCUGGGAAGUACGGUCGCAAGAUUA